Molecule: ribosomal RNA, 253 nt
Filed under: uncultured bacterium
Lineage: Bacteria
Description: partial 16S ribosomal RNA
Rfam family: Bacterial small subunit ribosomal RNA
Source: RNAcentral
UACGAAGGGGGCGAGCGUUGUUCGGAUUUACUGGGCGUAAAGCGCGCGCAGGCGGUCCUUUAAGUCUGAUGUGAAAGCCCACGGCUCAACCGUGGAGGGUCAUUGGAAACUGGGGGACUUGAGUACAGAAGAGGAAAGUGGAAUUCCACGUGUAGCGGUGAAAUGCGUAGAGAUGUGGAGGAACACCAGUGGCGAAGGCGACUUUCUGGUCUGUAACUGACGCUGAGGCGCGAAAGCGUGGGGAGCAAACAGG